This 427-nucleotide ribosomal RNA is filed under the name uncultured soil bacterium. RNAcentral's name for it is "bacterial SSU rRNA". It matches the Rfam family "Bacterial small subunit ribosomal RNA", at positions 965 to 1393 of the family's 1533-position model. The record is from RNAcentral.
AGAACCUUACCUGGGCUCGAACGGCUUCUGACCGCCGGUGGAAACACUGGCUUCCCCGCAAGGGGCAGGAGUCGAGGUGCUGCAUGGCUGUCGUCAGCUCGUGUCGUGAGAUGUUGGGUUAAGUCCCGCAACGAGCGCAACCCUUGUCCUGUGUUGCUAACCGAAAGGUGCACUCUCAGGAGACCGCCAGUGAUAAGCUGGAGGAAGGUGGGGAUGACGUCAAGUCAUCAUGGCCUUUAUGUCCAGGGCUACACACGUGCUACAAUGGACGGUACAAAGCGCUGCGAACCCGCGAGGGGGAGCCAAUCGCAAAAAACCGUUCUCAGUUCGGAUUGCAGGCUGCAACUCGCCUGCAUGAAGCUGGAAUCGCUAGUAAUGGCGUAUCAGAACGACGCCGUGAAUACGUUCCCGGGCCUUGUCACACCGA